GGAUGCGAUCAUACCAGCACUAAAGCACCGGAUCCCAUCAGAACUCCGAAGUUAAGCGUGCUUGGGCGAGAGUAGUACUAGGAUGGGUGACCUCCUGGGAAGUCCUCAUGUUGCAUUCC
Molecule: ribosomal RNA, 119 nt
Filed under: Setaria viridis
Lineage: Eukaryota; Viridiplantae; Streptophyta; Magnoliopsida; Poales; Poaceae
Also listed under: 5 other names
Source: RNAcentral